GUGAAUCAUCGAAUCUUUGAACGCACAUUGCGCCCGCCAGUAUUCUGGCGGGCAUGCCUGUCCGAGCGUCAUUUCAACCCUCGAACCCCCCCAGGGGGGUCCGGCGUUGGGGAUCGGGGACCCCUGAGACGGGAUCCCGGCCCCGAAAUACAGUGGCGGUCUCGCCGCAGCCUCCCCUGCGCAGUAGUUUGCACAACUCGCACCGGGAGCGCGGCGCGCCCACGUCCGUAAAACACCCAACUUUCUGAAAUGUUGACCUCGGAUCAGGUAGGAAUACCCGCUGAACUUAAGCAUAUCAAU
This 300-nucleotide unclassified non-coding RNA is filed under the name uncultured Trichoderma. Its description in RNAcentral is "sequence contains 5.8S rRNA gene, ITS2". The stretch from base 1 to 71 matches the Rfam family "5.8S ribosomal RNA", at positions 84 to 154 of the family's 154-position model. The record is from RNAcentral. Lineage: Eukaryota; Fungi; Ascomycota; Sordariomycetes; Hypocreales; Hypocreaceae.